GACGAACGCUGGCGGCGUGCUUAACACAUGCAAGUCGAACGGAAAGGCCCUGCUUUUGUGGGGUGCUCGAGUGGCGAACGGGUGAGUAACGCGUGAGUAACCUGCCCUUGACUUUGGGAUAACUUCAGGAAACUGGGGCUAAUACCGGAUAGGAGCUCCUGCUGCAUGGUGGGGGUUGGAAAGUUUCGGCGGUUGGGGAUGGACUCGCGGCUUAUCAGCUUGUUGGUGGGGUAGUGGCUUACCAAGGCUUUGACGGGUAGCCGGCCUGAGAGGGUGACCGACCACAUUGGGACUGGGAUACGGCCAAGACUCCUACGGGAGGCAGCAGUGAGGAAUAUUGCGCAAUGGGCGGAAGCCUGAUGCAGCAACGCCGCGUGCGGGAUAACGGCCUUCGGGUUGUAAACCGCUUUCGCCUGUGACGAAGCGUGAGUGGCGGUAAUGGGUAAAGAAGCACCAGCUAAAUACGUG
Molecule: ribosomal RNA, 468 nt
Filed under: uncultured bacterium
Lineage: Bacteria
Description: partial 16S ribosomal RNA
Rfam family: Bacterial small subunit ribosomal RNA
Source: RNAcentral